GUAAUACUGAUAGACUAGAGUAUAAUUGACGUACAUGGAAUGUAGCAUGUAGCGGUGAAAUGCAUAGAGAUGCUACAGAACACCGAUAGCGAAGGCAGUGUACGAAGAUAUAACUGACGCUCAUGCACGAAAGCGUGGGGAUCAAACAGGAUUAGAUACCCUGGUAGUCCACGCUGUAAGCGAUGAUAACUGGCUUUUGGCGAUACACAGUCAGAGGCUGAGAGAAAUCAAUAAGUUAUCCACCUGGGGAGUACGACGGCAACGUUGAAACUCAAAGGAAUUGACGGGGGCCCGCACAAGCGGAGGAGCAUGUGGUUUAAUUCGAUGAUACGCGAGGAACCUUACCCGGGCUUAAAUUGCAGAUGCUGUAUGUUGAAAGGCAUAUUUCUACGGACAUCUGUGAAGGUGCUGCAUGGUUGUCGUCAGCUCGUGCCGUGAGGUGUCGGGUUAAGUCCCAUAACGAGCGCAA
Molecule: ribosomal RNA, 469 nt
Filed under: uncultured bacterium
Lineage: Bacteria
Description: bacterial SSU rRNA
Rfam family: Bacterial small subunit ribosomal RNA
Source: RNAcentral